GGAAAGGUGGCCGAGUGGCUGAAGGCGUGCGCUUGGAAAGCGUAUAAAGGUUAACCCCUUUCGAGAGUUCGAAUCUCUCCCUUUCCGCCA
Molecule: transfer RNA, 90 nt
Filed under: Bdellovibrionales bacterium
Lineage: Bacteria; Pseudomonadati; Bdellovibrionota; Bdellovibrionia; Bdellovibrionales
Description: tRNA-Ser
Rfam family: tRNA
About the family: Transfer RNA (tRNA) molecules are approximately 80 nucleotides in length. Their secondary structure includes four short double-helical elements and three loops (D, anti-codon, and T loops).
Source: RNAcentral